Molecule: non-coding RNA, 1961 nt
Organism: Coturnix japonica (Japanese quail)
Lineage: Eukaryota; Metazoa; Chordata; Aves; Galliformes; Phasianidae
Source: RefSeq, a predicted model, not a curated record
CACGGGCAGGUAGUGCGGUGCGGCAGUUUGGACGGCAUCUCAGGCAGCCCCCUUCCCGACCUGUCUCGGUUCUCCACGUGCCCCCGCAUAACGGGUUUGAGGCUGUGGAGCCUGAUGGAGAGAUUACAGCAGAGCCAUUAAGUAAAAUUUGCGUGCAUAGUUCUGUGUUGGCCCUCAAGAAUGCUGAGCUUCAUGCUGGUUCAUCAUGUGUGACCAGGACACUAUUGCUCAAAAAGUUCCAGCAGAGAUAGAUUAAAAAAUAUUUUUCAAAAAUUACCCACCUUUUACCACUGAUAACUGGAUAAUGGUUUGAUGGCUGUGAAGAAGGGUUUUCUAAACAAACGAGCUGGAACAACUUUCUUUCAGUAUCAUCAAGAAAUUCCUGCAAGAUGCUCCUGAUGUUAUUUAGACCAAAUCUUUCCAUGUGACUACAAAACAGAAUAAAUAAGCUCUUAUGAAUUCAAGUUGAACUAAUGACAGCCUGUAUAUCCCAGAGCGUGAUAAAUUAUAGUUUGCUGCUGGCAGCAGGAACUGUUCAAACACAUAUUUCUGCAUUAUGACAAUUUCUUAAGGCUUCUAUAGAAUUCAUGUUUAAUAGGAAACUGCCUAGAGGGAAGAUUAUUAGGAAACUUAGAAAAAGAUUUUCAUUUUAUGAUUUCAGCAAUGUCUGUAAUUAACAACACAGCCUAUCAUUUACUAAGUGGUUAGUUGCACAUAUGAGACCUUUAUCUUGUACAGUAAUUACGGUAUAUAGAAACAAUAUACUUAUUCGGGGUGACUGAAUGUAAGUGGGUGGUUAAAUGUCAUUAAAGCUGUUAUGGAAUAUAUUUAUUUAUGAAUAAAUAUUUUCAGUUUUGCUUUGAGAAAAAAUUUCUGUAUGACCUUUAGAAGGGGAUGCCAAAUUAGAAAUUUCUGCAUAACAGCAAUAUUAGUUUAAAGCAUGCCUUGCCAAGCACAUAAGAAACCCAGCUGAUAAGGAGAUUUUAAACUUGACCAUGGACAAACUCUAUGCUUAUUAUCACUGCUUUCCACAUUUCAUCUCUUUCACAGUCCCUUUGUGUUUGCUGCAUUUUGUUGUUAUCUAGUGCCCUCACAUUUUCUUUUUUAUUUGUUUGAAUUUGAAAGGAUGUUGGAUUUUGUUUACAGUAAUUGCUUAUUUUCUGGAAAGUGCUACGAAUACUGUUCUAAUAUUAAUGUGGAAAAUCCUGGGACUUUGAACACCUAUCAUCUCAAUAUAUUAACCUUGGAUAAACAUCAAGAUUAUCCUUUAGAAUUUGGUAAGAAAGACCUGGAAAUUUAAUGCUGGCUUUAAUUUGCUUGGAAAAUAGACUGAUCAGAAAACUAAGCAAAAAAUGGUCCCUCCAAAAAAGUGGGCAUUUCAUUGCAGCCACUCCUGACCUGAAAACACUGAUGUACUAUUACUCUUUAACUUUGAUUAAAAUUGCCAGUAUGGAUCAGUCAACGCUUUCCUCACUAGUCUUUGCAAACAAAUUGCAAACCUACUGGUACUUAAAAAUUAAAAUAAUUAAUUAAUAAUUGUUAAUUAAUUAAUUAAGAAUAAAUAAUUAAUAGCAGACACCAGUGAUCAGAGAAACUCUCUAAACGAAUAUACUUGCUAUAAUUAUCUUUUACCCAUCUACUGUGUUAUAGAUGGAAUAUCAUCUGGUGUUAUUUUAGUGUAGCUAUUAUCUUUCGUAAUGGUCAAGGUUUUAAAUAGAAGAGCUCUGCUGUGUCAUGGACUGUUUCCAUUCAUGCUUCUCUGGGAUGUCCUCUGUAUGUUCAGUGGGAAGGGGGGAGGCACUAAAAGCUAGUGCUUCCUUUGUCUGUACCAGCUUUACAUCCUAACCAUUUGUCAGCUGAAAGGGCAGACUGACUCUCCACAGGACAUCUGCAGCCAAAGAUAGUCCAGAGAGAGUAAGUACUUUAGUAUUUCACGUUGACUCAGCAGUGGUAAAUGCCCA